Bos taurus (domestic cattle) is the source of this 1115-nucleotide long non-coding RNA. NCBI's taxonomy places the organism in Eukaryota, Metazoa, Chordata, Mammalia, Artiodactyla, Bovidae. The record is from Ensembl.
CCAAAGAAGUGGGGACAGAGACCCAGAAAAAGGGGGACAGAUUCAGAAAGGGGUCAAAGAGGCACGGGUGAGAAGGGGGUAGAGACCCAAGGGAGGGAAAGAGACAGGACAGAAAGAGAAAAGGCAGUGACAGAGGGGCGAAAGAGACGGAAGAGGGGGAAAAGACGCAGGGAAGGAGGUGGUCAGAGAACAAGAGCUGGGGGGACCGAGACCCAGAGAGAGGACGGAGGAGACCCUGGCGGGAGGGGAGUAUUGAGGACAGAAACACAAAGAGGAAGGACAGAGACAGGAAGGAAAAGAGACCCAGAGAGAAGAGUUCAGGGACCCAAGAGAGGAGAAAGAGGCCAGAGAGAGAGAAAUCAGAGAAGAAGAUAGAGGCCAAGAGAAAGACAUUGAGGGUGGAAGACCCCGCCAUGGUCCGGGGAGAGGAGAUUGAGGCUUAGAGAGCAGAGAGGCACCGCCUCCGGCCGUCGCAGCCCCAGCAGCAGCCGCUGGCCCGGCCCCUGCCCCGCGCCUGCGCUCUACUACCCGGUGGCUAGGCCCGCCCAGGGGGCGGGGCCGGACCCGCUGCUAGGCGGUCCGCCUAGUUCUGGUCCCGCCCUCCGUUGGCCCCGCCGUGGUCUCCCCGCCCUCUCUCCAGGACGCUCUGACACCUGACUCCGCCCAAUUUCCUAUCGGCCCCGCCUGUUUCCUCAGCCUAGACUGUGCUUCCCGGUGUUUUAAUGGUUUCUCCCCUCCGCCUCCCUUAAGACUCUCCUCACCAGUUCCCAUCCAUCCCUCGGUUCUCCUGGCUGCAGUCUGCCGUUAUCUAUACCUUGUCCCCUUUCCCUCACCGCGUUACCCCCUUUAAGGCCCUGCUGAUCCUUAAGACUCUCUCCCAGGUUAUUUGGCCUCCAAGACUUCCCGUUCUAGGUUCCACCGCUCCGUCCAUUCCGAUAGCCUUGUACUCUUUGCAGGUUUCACAUUUUCCUUAGCCAUUCUCUACACUCUUAGCCCUGCCCCGCCCCCGCCUACCCUGGUUGCUUUCAAGUCCGUUAAAGCCCCUCUCCUCUCUUAGUCUUGCAUUUCCACAGGCAAUUCAAGACGUUUUCUACCAUUCGUGGACCCCACCCACC